This 385-nucleotide ribosomal RNA is filed under the name uncultured bacterium. RNAcentral describes it as "bacterial SSU rRNA". It matches the Rfam family "Bacterial small subunit ribosomal RNA", at positions 28 to 426 of the family's 1533-position model. The record is from RNAcentral.
GACGAACGCUGGCGGCGUGCCUAAAACAUGCAAGUCGAACGAGGUAGCAAUAUCUAGUGGCGAACGGCGGAGUAAGACAUGAACAACGUGCCCUAAAGUCCGGGACAAACGCAGAAAUGCCAUAAAUACCGGAUGUGGCUGGGAGUCGGCAUCGACUUCCAAUUAAAGGUUUUUCGCUUUAGGAGCGGUUCAUGGCCUAUCAGGUAGUUGGUGGGGUAAUGGCCUACCAAGCCGACGACAGGUAACGGGUCUGAGAGGAUGAUCCGUCCGAGUGGGACUGAGACACGGCCCACACACCUACGGGUGGCAGCAGUUGGGAAUCUUGCACAAUGGGGGAAACCCUGAUGCAGCGACGCCGCGUGGAGGAUGAAGGGUCUAGGCCUGU